Molecule: long non-coding RNA, 980 nt
Organism: Alligator sinensis (Chinese alligator)
Lineage: Eukaryota; Metazoa; Chordata; Crocodylia; Alligatoridae
Exons: 3
Source: RefSeq, a predicted model, not a curated record
GGACAUGGAAUGAGAAACACAGCAGUUUUCAUUCGAGCUCCAUUUAUACAGCUGUAAAAGUCAAGUGACAUGCAUUUUAGGCCAUGGAAUAAUUAGAAAAUUUUUAAGGAACAUUAGAGAAGGAAAAAGGAGAAAACUAUCAACUAUGUGACCUAAAAAAGAAGGAUGACCAUCAUGGUCAUGGAUUCAACAUAUGUACUGUCUAAAGCUACAUACCUCAAGCCAAAGAUUAGCACCAGCAGGUGGACCCAAACCAUCAGACCAAUCAUAACCUUUCCAUCUGAUAACAGGCAGAUGUAUUGAUACACAGUGUUAACAGACAAUAAUAAUACAAGCAAUUCUACAUAUCUACCAGUCUUAGAGCUGUCAUCAAAGUCAAGGAAUGUCUGGGCAGGAUGCAAACUUCACUCUGAGGUUCUCUCUUGACUGUCAGAUGUCAGCAGCCUGGAGGCUGGGGGCUGAGGCCCACCCCUUACCAGUGGGGUGGAUGAGACAGGCUGGUGGUAUGUCCUUUGUCCAUGUGGCCUCAGAUUCCCCUCUCAGGGCCCCUUCACUGCUCUAAAGUCCCUUUAUAUGUAUUCUUUUCCCCUCCUGAUGAGUUUUCAACAAUGAGCACCACUGAUUGGUCUUUCUGUGGUGGUCAUACUGUACACAUUCUGUCCUAUCAGUAUACUCCUUUGUUUCACAAGCCCAUCACAGCCACACAUUCUUAUUUCAGCUUUCUGAGCUUUUUCCUAAUUUGGUCUGUUCUCGCAUUCUUGAGGCCUUGUGAGCUGUUGCCACCCUUUCUCAUGUUAUGGAACAGUGUGGCACAUGCGCACAAUUUUCCCAGGCUAUGUGCUUAUCCAUUGGCCUUGUUGCUUGCUUGGGUUAGAAACUCUGUCUCAACUGAAGGCUGUGUGAAACUGUGAGACAACCAGGCCUUUAAAAAAAAUCAGUUAAUCAGUUAACCCUUGGCAUUGCCCUGGACCAUUAUUCUA